UCCAGAGACAACCGCCCUACUUGGUUCCU
RNAcentral lists this non-coding RNA (29 nucleotides) under Homo sapiens (human). Lineage: Eukaryota; Metazoa; Chordata; Mammalia; Primates; Hominidae. The record is from RNAcentral.